GAAGAACUUUAUUAUUAGUCCAUUACUGCUUGCAGGAGGGCAGGAGGGAGGGCAGGAGGUGGGGAGGGAGGGAGAGAAUAAACUACUAACUGAGUUUUGGGUUACUUGGCCCUGAGUCAUCAGGUGAAGUUCCUUGCUAAUCAAAUUUACUGGUUAACAGGCGGAUUGUCACAGACAGCAAUGCCCUCCUUCAGUCUUUUGGGAAGCUGCUGAGCUGAGUCAGGGGUUUCCUAUAGCCCUGUAUACGUGAUGCCAAUACGUCAACAAAGCUCUGUUGCUAGCUGAGAAUCCCUUAGGCGCUGCUGUGUUGCUGUUCUCUAAAGUGGUGGGAGAGAGAGGGAGCUAGACCUGUUCAGAUUUCUUGAGAAAAGUUCUGAAUUCAUUGUUAUGAGGGAGGUAUAAGAUAGAGGAGGAUGUGGGGUACUACCGAUACUCCAGAUCUGAGAGAGAAAACGUCUCUCUCCACCAUGAAUUUGUACACAGUGGUAUCUUCCUGCUGUGUUCCUGAAAUCAGCGUCUGGUGUUCAUGCUCUCAUUGCCAAGUGAUGGAUCCCGGGCAUUUUAGUUUCAGUUACCUGCAAUCAGCCAUGUUCUGGGAGCAGAUGAUCCUGCUUCUGACACAUUGUCAAAAGGUCAACAGUAGCCUGAUGCUCUGUCACAAUGUCUACAUCAUUCACCUCACUUCAUCUCAUCACGUAGGCGUGGUAUGUUCUCAAUCAUCACAAGAAGGAGGGCACUCUUUUACAGUGAUCAAGCCUGGAGUCGAGCCUUGGAUGUUUCCUGGUUGCACUAAAGCUCUAACAUUUGGAGGCUGUUUCAGAUGCUCUUGACUUCGGAACCAUCUCCCUCUCUGGCUCUGACACAUGGUUCUAUGCCCUCAUAGUGGCUGUGCUUGAAUAACUGGCUCUUACAAAGGCCAUUUCCCUGUUUGCUCUAUGUAAAUAGAAUCACACGUUAGGUACUGUUCUCUGGAAUUGUAGUAAGAUGGUUGAAGUUGUAAUUUUGUAUAUUCAUAUUAGCACAUUGGAAUAUGUUUCCUGUUUCCUUUGGUCUUCCUGGUUUUCUGCGUGCCUGGCCACUUGAGCGAAGAUGAAGGAGAAAUCACAUUUGAAGCAGGGGUUAAGGAGACUUGGCUGAACUUCCUAAAACUUUAUGAGCAAAGCUGUUGGCCAGAAAUUCCAUGUGUUGUUUUAACUCUGUUUUCUUACUGCAUCUCCCUCUGAAAAAGUGCAAAGAGUUACCCCAUUGGCCAGCUGCUAGUUGCUGCACUGAAGAGUCGGAUACGAUUAGCAUCAACCAAAGUUAGAAAUGGAUAGCUGAGGGUAAAUGUUUUCGAGUUGUUGAAAACAGAAGUAUGGACUUUAACAUCCAACCUCGGGAGCCGUUGUUUGAGAGCGCCAGUCUAUGAGAUCAUGUAACAGCAAGGCCUCUAAAAAAUCACUCUACAUCUGCCCAAGGUGCUGAUAUUCAGUUAGAUGAGUUUUGGCCUUGACUAGAGAGAAAUCUAAGUAAAACUGGUUAUGAUUAGGAAAAGGAAAAACGAUCUCACUGUUUUGUGUUCUAUAGGAGUUUAUAGUUCUUUCAUAUCAAUGAGUAAGAUUUUAAGCAUUUUUAUAUAUUUGCUAUAAAUAUUUCCCUAGUUUGCUGUUUACUUUUCAAUUUUAAUUCUUUUGAAUGAUUUAAAAUUUAUAUGUAGUUAAAUCAGAUGAUUUUUCCUUUUAAUUUCUUUCACUGUUUUAAGCUUAGAAUGUUUUCUUUCUAAAACUUUGGUAUUUGAUACUAUUUCUUCUAGCUUUUGAUAGAUUAAUUUUUUAAACCAACUGUACUUUUUUUAUUCACUUGGAAUUUAUGUGGGUCCAUGGUACAAGAUAAUGACUAAACUGGCUUCUUUUCCUAAUGAGUAAUAGCAUUAUUUGUUGAUUCAGUAUUCCUCUUCUCUGCUGACUUGUGAUUUCUCUUCCGUCAUAUAUCAUAUAUUCGUAUGAUUUAUUUCUGAGCCAUCUAUUCUGUUCCAUUGGCUUGUCAGUCUAUUCUUGUGCUAUAAUCAUGCCUGUUUUAAUUAGUAUUAGUAAUUGGCAUGCAUUAGUAUUCAGUAGAGCUGUUCUUCUAACAAGGAAUGAGGAUUCUUUUGUACCAGAAGUUAGCAGGUAAGCUUCUUA
Molecule: long non-coding RNA, 2159 nt
Organism: Equus caballus (horse)
Lineage: Eukaryota; Metazoa; Chordata; Mammalia; Perissodactyla; Equidae
Source: Ensembl